ACCGUGACCUUAAAAGGUACUACC
RNAcentral lists this non-coding RNA (24 nucleotides) under Arabidopsis thaliana (thale cress). Lineage: Eukaryota; Viridiplantae; Streptophyta; Magnoliopsida; Brassicales; Brassicaceae. The record is from RNAcentral.